Molecule: ribosomal RNA, 305 nt
Filed under: uncultured bacterium
Lineage: Bacteria
Description: bacterial SSU rRNA
Rfam family: Bacterial small subunit ribosomal RNA
Source: RNAcentral
UCCUACGGGGGGCAGCAGUGGGGAAUCUUCCGCAAUGGGCGAAAGCCUGACGGAGCAACGCCGCGUGAUCGAAUGAAGGCCUUCGGGUUGUAAAGAUCUGUUGACAGGGACGAAUAAGCCAUGCGAAUAGUUUGGUGUAUGACGGUACCUGUUUAGAAAGCUCCGGCUAACUACGUGCCAGCAGCCGCGGUAAUACGUAGGGAGCAAGCGUUGUCCGGAAUUACUGGGCGUAAAGGGCGCGUAGGUGGGUGCUUAAGUCAGGUGUGAAAUCCUAUGGCUUAACCAUAGAACUGCAUUUGAAACUG